UAGGGAAUAUUGGACAAUGGGGGCAACCCUGAUCCAGCCAUGCCGCGUGAGUGAAGAAGGCCCUCGGGUUGUAAAGCUCUUUUGUCCGGAAAGAAAAGCAUUCGGUGAAUACCCGGAUGUUCUGACGGUACCGGAAGAAUAAGCACCGGCUAACUUCGUGCCAGCAGCCGCGGUAAUACGAAGGGUGCAAGCGUUACUCGGAAUUACUGGGCGUAAAGCGUGCGUAGGUGGUUGUUUAAGUCUGAUGUGAAAGCCCUGGGCUCAACCUGGGAAUGGCAUUGGAAACUGGGCAGCUAGAGUGCGGUAGAGGGUAGUGGAAUUCCCGGUGUAGCAGUGAAAUGCGUAGAGAUCGGGAGGAACAUCUGUGGCGAAGGCGACUGCCUGGACCAGCACUGGCACUGAGGCACGAAAGCGUGGGGAGCAAACA
RNAcentral lists this ribosomal RNA (427 nucleotides) under uncultured bacterium. RNAcentral describes it as "bacterial SSU rRNA". It matches the Rfam family "Bacterial small subunit ribosomal RNA", at positions 355 to 774 of the family's 1533-position model. The record is from RNAcentral.